This is a ribosomal RNA of Otolemur garnettii (small-eared galago), 109 nucleotides long. The record is from Ensembl. Lineage: Eukaryota; Metazoa; Chordata; Mammalia; Primates; Galagidae.
GUCUACGCCCGUACCACACUGAAUGCCCCUGAUCUUGGAAGCUAAGCAGGGUCGGGCCUGGUUAGUAUUUGGAUGGGAGACUGCCUGGGAAUAUUGGGUGCUUUAGGCU